RNAcentral lists this ribosomal RNA (253 nucleotides) under uncultured bacterium. RNAcentral's name for it is "partial 16S ribosomal RNA". It matches the Rfam family "Bacterial small subunit ribosomal RNA", at positions 524 to 776 of the family's 1533-position model. The record is from RNAcentral.
UACAGAGGUCUCAAGCGUUGUUCGGAUUCAUUGGGCGUAAAGGGUGCGUAGGCGGCGCGGUAAGUCGGGUGUGAAAUCUUGGAGCUUAACUCCGAAACUGCAUUCGAUACUGCCGUGCUUGAGGACUGGAGAGGAGACUGGAAUUUACGGUGUAGCGGUGAAAUGCGUAGAUAUUGGGAAGAACACCGGUGGCGAAGGCGACAUCCUGGACCAAUACUGACGCUGAGGAGCGAAAGCCAGGGGAGCAAACGGG